CACUGGCCCAACUGAUUGAUGGUGCUUGCACCUGAUUGACGAUGGAUCACCAGUGAGUGGCGGACGGGUGAGUAACACGUAGGUAACCUGCCCCGGAGCGGGGGAUAACAUUUGGAAACAGAUGCUAAUACCGCAUAACAACAAAAGCCACAUGGCUUUUGUUUGAAAGAUGGCUUUGGCUAUCACUCUGGGAUGGACCUGCGGUGCAUUAGCUAGUUGGUAAGGUAACGGCUUACCAAGGCGAUGAUGCAUAGCCGAGUUGAGAGACUGAUCGGCCACAAUGGAACUGAGACACGGUCCAUACUCCUACGGGAGGCAGCAGUAGGGAAUCUUCCACAAUGGGCGCAAGCCUGAUGGAGCAACACCGCGUGAGUGAAGAAGGGUUUCGGCUCGUAAAGCUCUGUUGUUGGAGAAGAACGUGCGUGAGAGUAACUGUUCACGCAGUG
This 446-nucleotide ribosomal RNA is filed under the name Limosilactobacillus reuteri. RNAcentral's name for it is "bacterial SSU rRNA". It matches the Rfam family "Bacterial small subunit ribosomal RNA", at positions 36 to 471 of the family's 1533-position model. Lineage: Bacteria; Bacillati; Bacillota; Bacilli; Lactobacillales; Lactobacillaceae. The record is from RNAcentral.